Molecule: ribosomal RNA, 468 nt
Filed under: uncultured bacterium
Lineage: Bacteria
Description: partial 16S ribosomal RNA
Rfam family: Bacterial small subunit ribosomal RNA
Source: RNAcentral
GACGAACGCUGGCGGCGUGCUUAACACAUGCAAGUCGAACGGAAAGGCCCUGCUUUUGUGGGGUGCUCGAGUGGCGAACGGGUGAGUAACACGUGAGUAACCUGCCCUUGACUUUGGGAUAACUUCAGGAAACUGGGGCUAAUACCGGAUAGGAGCUCCUGCUGCAUGGUGGGGGUUGGACAGUUUCGGCGGUUGGGUAUGGACUCGCGGCUUAUCAGCUUGUUGGUGGGGUAGUGGCUUACCAAGGCUUUGAAGGGUAGCCGGCCUGAGAGGGUGACCGGCCACAUUGGGACUGAGAUACGGCCCAGACUCCUACGGGAUGCAGCAGUGGGGAAUAGUGCACAAUGGGCGGAAGCCUGAUGCAGCAACGCCGCGUGCGGGAUGACGGCCUUCGGGUUGUAAACCGCUUUCGCCUGUGACGAAGCGUGAGUGACGGUAAUGGGUAAAGAAGCACCGGCUAACUACGUG